This 193-nucleotide small nuclear RNA is filed under the name Stegodyphus dumicola. RNAcentral's name for it is "U2 spliceosomal RNA". It matches the Rfam family "U2 spliceosomal RNA". Rfam says of the family: U2 is a small nuclear RNA (snRNA) component of the spliceosome (involved in pre-mRNA splicing). Complementary binding between U2 snRNA (in an area lying towards the 5' end but 3' to hairpin I) and the branchpoint sequence (BPS) of the intron results the bulging out of an unpaired adenosine, on the BPS, which initiates a nucleophilic attack at the intronic 5' splice site, thus starting the first of two transesterification reactions that mediate splicing. Lineage: Eukaryota; Metazoa; Arthropoda; Arachnida; Araneae; Eresidae. The record is from RNAcentral.
UUAUCCUGCUUAAACUAUGUAAAUGGCAACAAUAAAAAAUCUGUUCUUAUCAGCUUAAUAUCUGAUACGACGUCGACAUGACGUCAAGAUAUUAAACUAAUUUUUGCAGAUAGGCUUGUGGUUAGGAAUUUAUUCCGCCCUCGCCACGGGUUGGCCUGCUAUGGCACUACUUGCAGGAUACGGCCCACAAUAU